This 1690-nucleotide unclassified non-coding RNA is filed under the name Hevea brasiliensis (rubber tree). Lineage: Eukaryota; Viridiplantae; Streptophyta; Magnoliopsida; Malpighiales; Euphorbiaceae. The record is from RNAcentral.
GACUGAGCUAUAAUCCAUGCUUAAGUGAAUAAGUGUACACAAACGGUAUUUGAAUGAGCAACUUCUUAUUCAGUUAAGUGCUCAACUUAUGUUUUUGUGUCCUAUCUUAUGGAGAUUCCAAGUCAACCUACUAAAUUGUGGCUAUUUCUUGAAACAUUUCAGUUAUUUCAACUUUAUAACAUUAUCUUUUGAUGAUAUACCUGAAUAUUUUGUAGAAAUUUGACUACAUGGUUGGUAGACCAUUGUAGGCAAAUUUGACUGGUGCUACUACAUUGCUACUGUUUGUCAGUCCCAUGUUACAUGUUUGCAUAUUUUGUAGUUCUAGAUUCUCCCUCUGUGACAUUCUUUCAAUGAUUUACAUGUGAAAUUAUUAACGGACUGUUUCAUGCCCUUCUAGACACCUAAGGUUCUAAUUGGAUUACUAAAUUUCAUAAUUUAAACAGCAACUGUAUGAAGAUGAGCAAGAUUGAUGCCUGGGCAUCGUUUCAGAUCGGGACCUGCAGCCAAGAUUGAAGGUUACAGGCGUGUUUAUGUUUUAAUUGGCCAAGAAGAAAAAAUAUGCGGAUGUGAUCCAAUAAAUUGGCAGCAGCGUACAGCUUUCCCAUGUCCUUGAUAAUGAGGUGCUAGGUCAUUGAAGGCAUCUGUGUGUAUAAGAACAGGACCUUCUUGGGACCUCUUCGGAAGUAUGUAAAACAAAACAAAGUCGUAAAGGGUGGCGGAACUAGGGUAACUUGUACUCACUCAGCUAACCCCCAAUGCCCGCUAAAGUGAUUUGAUAAACUAAUGGACUGUUCCACGCCCUGUUGGCCAUGACAUGUAAUAUCAGGUUAUUCAUGCUACUUUUGCAAAAUGUUGUAAUGCACUUUUGGAUUGUCUAUAAAACUCUCUGGCUGUUGAGAAAUUCAAUAAAUUAGACAACACACUGAACGUGCACAUUUUCUGUAGUUAACCCUCAACAGAAAUAUCCCCCAAUAAUGCAACUGGACUAAUUUACCCGUAGGAACCAUUUUGAAGCAAAACGGUGAGCUUAGCUACCUUCUAUUCAUUUUAUCUCUCUCUUGGUGAUGUUUGUAUUCUUUUUUUCCCUCUCUUUUCAUGUAUUUUUCCAGUCCACCUCCUCAAACCAAAGGAAUCAAUAAUCAUGGCAUGUAGUUCCUAAGAGUUUUAGUCAAUCCAACUGAAUUCAGAAUACUCUAAUAGUCUAACAUACUCACUGGAAAAGGUCUAGGAAGCUUCUGUAGCUGCUUCUGCAGAGGCCCGAUAUGAGUUCUAUAAAUGUGAGCAUCUCCAAUCACAUGGAUAAAAUCACCAGGAACAAGACCUGUGCAAACAUGUGACAAGGUGGGAGUGCCAUUAAUUUGAGAUCUGAGGGAUUCCAUGCUGCGAGGAUAAUGCGUCUGUCAUCUGGUCUAUUCUUGAUCUUGUCAACAACAUCUUCUAGUUGAUCAAACCCUUGCCCCGUGUAGUCAGCAUGCAUGUCUGUAUAUCUAGCACCGAAGUGUCUCCAUUGGAAGCCAUAUAUGGGUCCUAAGUGGCCCUGUUCUCUAUCUUUCAGGACAAUACUGAAUAAUAUAGAUACAUCAGUUGUGUUUGUACAGACAAAGGCAAUUUUUCAUAUUUGAGAGGUUACCUGUGAAGGUAGUCUCUCGAUCCAUUUCCAUCCCAGAUGUGAACAUUUUUCUUCUGUAGA